AUCGCGGGAGUAACACGAGCGCUUUUUCGGAACUCAACUAGGUACUUAUUUAAGAGAAUUGUGACUUAGAUUUUUCCUACGCAUGCGCUAUAUAUAUUAAGUAUUAACCGUGAUAACCAGUUCCGAAAAAGAGCUCGCGUUGCUCCCGCGAUUCUCUUGUAUAAUAAUAUUAUGUACUAGCUAAGUGGUUAACAAUAUGUUUUUAUAAUUAUGUCUAUGAAAUUUUCAUAAAAAUUAAGUAAAAUAGUUAAUUAUUCCGUGUACCUAAAGUUAGUUGAUGGUUCCGCGGAUUAAAGGUAGGCCGUGAAUGGUUCCAAGCAUCAAUAUAGAUAAACAUUCUAAUUUAUCACUAGCGGUACGACGUAUACCCUACCCAUUAUUUAAGGUAUUGAAUAUCUGUUUGCACUACACAAUUAUUUAAAUAUUUAAAAGUGUAAUGAAGUCCAGACAUACUGACAUAAAGGCAAAUAUAAAAUGUGCAAAAGGCUGCCACUGAUGUCUAGUAAAAGGCCAAUUUUGAAGUGAAUCUUCUUCACUAUCAGAUUACCUACUUAUAAAAGCAUUGGACAAAUUUAUUUUCUUCAAACUUUCAACGUUCAUUGUAUACAUAUAUUUUAAAUUUAAAUACAUUUGAUAUGAAGAACAAAUCAAGUUAUGAAUCCACUUACUCAAAAAUUAUAUUGUGGAUAAUUGUCCUUCUCGCAUAUUGUUAUUUUAUAAGAAAACUGUGGAAUAUCUACCAAAUGAAUAAUUAUGAAGAAAUAUGUCCUUUAUGUGGUAAGAGAACUGUGCCAAAAUCUAUCAAUUCAUUGGAAUCCUGGGAUACAUAAUAACUUAGAGUAGAUUUUAUUCUCAUUUAUAGAAUUUUCUUUUAGAGUUUUCUAAGAGAACACAGUUCCUGACACCAAAGAAAAUGUUUGAUUAAUAAACAUUUGGAUUUAAAAAUAAGCUCAUUGUAUUGAAACAAAAUUAAAACUCUUAAGUAAGAAAACUAACUAUAAAAAAAUGAAGAAUAUAUAGUUUACUAUUUUUUUUUUUAAAUAUCAUAAGGUAAAAAAUAAGAAGAGGGAUAAUUUACUCAAAUUAACUUAAGCACUCUGCUACAUAUAGAAUGUUUAUGCUCCAAAAAAAUCACAAUCAUUAAAUCAUACUAAUAAAAUUCUAUGUUAAGUUAACAGGAUUCUUGUUAGUAUAGAGCCAAAAAGCUUGUUAGGUUAAUAGUAUUUUUAUUAUUCUAAACCUAAUAAGAUUUUUGUUCAUAUUAUGUAAUUUAAGUUCAAAAUUAUAAAAAUUUCAAAAAUAAUUUGUAUUUAUAUAAAAUUUAAAAAAUGAAAAUCAGACUAGGUACUCAUAAGUUUUUCUACUUUUAAUAAAAAUAAAUUAAUGGGAAAAUUACAUUAU
This is a long non-coding RNA of Aphis gossypii (cotton aphid), 1401 nucleotides long. RefSeq lists it as uncharacterized. The transcript is spliced from 6 exons. NCBI's taxonomy places the organism in Eukaryota, Metazoa, Arthropoda, Insecta, Hemiptera, Aphididae. The record is from RefSeq and is a predicted model, not a curated record.